Molecule: ribosomal RNA, 255 nt
Filed under: uncultured bacterium
Lineage: Bacteria
Description: partial 16S ribosomal RNA
Rfam family: Bacterial small subunit ribosomal RNA
Source: RNAcentral
UACAGAGGUCUCAAGCGUUGUUCGGAUUCAUUGGGCGUAAAGGGUGCGUAGGCGGCGCGGUAAGUCGGGUGUGAAAUCUCGGAGCUUAACUCCGAAACUGCAUUCGAUACUGUCGUGCUUGAGGACUGGAGAGGAGACUGGAAUUUACGGUGUAGCGGUGAAAUGCGUAGAUAUCGUAAGGAAGACCAGUGGCGAAGGCGGGUCUCUGGGGCUGACACUGACGCUCAUGCACGAAAGCGUGGGGAGCAACGACGG